Molecule: RNA transcript, 2605 nt
Organism: Eleginops maclovinus (Patagonian blennie)
Lineage: Eukaryota; Metazoa; Chordata; Actinopteri; Perciformes; Eleginopidae
Gene: cdk8
Gene name: cyclin dependent kinase 8
Exons: 13
Source: RefSeq, a predicted model, not a curated record
UGCCGUAUAGCGCGAAGUGCGUCUCUCCAGAUACCGGCUGAGGGAAACGCAGCAACAAGAGAAAGGAAUACAUUUCUGUCUCGUUUUCCCACUUGGACUCUCACCGAGCACCGUGCAUCCCCUCCGGUAGGAACAAUUUAACCGGAAAACUCCAUGUGGAAGCUGGGCUGGGGACGAGAUAAAUCACCCGAACCGAGCUCGCUGUUGUAGCCUUGUUGCUUCCCAGAAGUGACGCUUUAAAAAGGGAAGGAGAAGACCCCUUUACCCUCAUCUGUGGUGAAAAUGGACUAUGACUUUAAAGUGAAGCUGACCGGCGAAAGAGAGCGCGUCGAGGACCUGUUCGAGUACGAAGGCUGCAAAGUGGGAAGAGGCACCUACGGUCAUGUUUACAAGGCGAAGAGAAAAGAUGGGAAGGAUGAUAAGGACUACGCCCUCAAGCAGAUUGAAGGCACCGGCAUCUCCAUGUCAGCCUGCAGAGAGAUCGCACUGCUGCGGGAGCUGAAGCAUCCCAACGUCAUCUCCCUGCAGAAGGUGUUCCUGUCACACGCAGACCGAAAAGUCUGGCUGCUCUUUGACUAUGCCGAACAUGACCUCUGGCACAUCAUUAAGUUCCACAGAGCAUCCAAGGCCAACAAGAAGCCCCUGCAGCUGCCCAGAGGAAUGGUCAAGUCCCUGCUCUACCAGAUCCUGGACGGCAUCCAUUACCUCCACGCUAACUGGGUCCUCCACAGAGACCUUAAACCAGCUAACAUUUUAGUGAUGGGAGAAGGGCCGGAGAGGGGUAGAGUAAAGAUUGCGGACAUGGGGUUUGCCCGCCUCUUCAAUUCACCGCUGAAGCCUUUAGCCGAUCUCGACCCUGUGGUGGUCACCUUCUGGUACAGAGCACCUGAACUGCUGCUGGGGGCCCGGCACUACACCAAAGCCAUCGAUAUUUGGGCGAUUGGCUGCAUCUUUGCAGAGCUGCUGACGUCUGAGCCCAUAUUCCACUGUCGCCAGGAGGACAUCAAGACCAGUAACCCCUACCAUCAUGACCAACUCGACCGCAUCUUUAACGUCAUGGGCUUCCCUGCAGAUAAAGACUGGGAGGACAUCAAAAAGAUGCCAGAACACUCCACGCUGAUGAAAGACUUUAGGAGGAACACAUACACAAACUGCAGCCUUAUAAAGUACAUGGAAAAACAUAAAGUGAAACCAGACAGCAAAGCAUUCCACUUGCUGCAGAAGCUGCUCACCAUGGACCCCAUCCGUAGAAUCACAUCAGAGCAGGCCAUGCAGGACCCCUACUUUUUAGAGGAGCCCCUGCCGACUUCAGAUGUGUUUGCAGGCUGCCAGAUCCCCUACCCCAAGAGGGAGUUCCUGACGGAGGAGGAGCCGGAGGACAAAGCAGACAAAUCCAAUGUUCUUAUCUUAUUCCAUACUAGAAAAACCAGCAGCAGCAACAGGGGAACAACCACACAAACGGGGCGGGGCACACCGGUAACCAAGACAACAGCCACGCCCAGGGCCCGCCUCUGAAGAAAGUGCGAGUCGUCCCCCCCACCACUACCUCAGGUGGCCUCAUCAUGAACUCAGACUACCAGCGCUCCAAUCCACAUGCUGCCUACCAGAACCCUGGACCAAGCACAUCACUGCCCCAAAGCAGCAUGGGAUACUCCUCUACCUCCCAGCAGCCCCCGCAGUACUCCCACCAGACCCACCGCUACUGAGACACCCCUCCCAAACACACACACACACACAUACACACACACACAUUAUACAUGUAUAUACACAGCCCUCACCCUGCCCAUCUGAAAGACUGUACUGAGGGAUGUGGUGGGGGUGUCCAAGGCAACAAACCCCCCCCACCCUACAGAGGGCACUUUCUCUGCAGCAGGCUGUUAGGUCAGCACUUCUUCAAGCUAACACACACAUCUCCCCAGGCGGAAGAGCGGACACUCUGGGGGAGUCCUACCAGUUCCUGUUUCCUGUCUUAUUCAGAGCAGCCGAGAGAGGAUGGCUGGGUUUUUCUUUCGGGGUGGGGGGUUUAAUCUGCUGUGUCAUCUCCGCCCCUCUUUUUCUACACCUGUCUCCACACCCCCACCUUCCCCAGCCCUUCUCAACCUUCUUCCCGUCGAAGCUUGGAUGAGAUUGAAAGCUGCUAUGUGACUGCCAGCGGUGACAGACUUCCUGUCCGACUGUCCUCCUGUCUGUCUGUCUGUCUGUCUGUCUGUCUGUCUGUCUGUCUGUCUGUCUGUCUGUCUGUCUGUCUGUCUGUCUGUUUAUUUUGUGUGUGAGGGCUCAGCUGAGGACUGGAUUGAGCUGCUGUGAUGCAUUCUGGGAGGAUGUGGAGCCCCCACAGCUGUGGCGUUGAGGGUUUUUGUUCAGAAGGACAACAAAAAAAAAGAGACAAAUAUUUUAGUAGUUAAUUUAAUCUGUUUUCAUGGUUUUGUUUUUAACGGCGAGUGCGGCUGAGCGCUCAGCUGCUGUACGCUGUGGGUAAGACUCAUUACAUGAUGAGAAACCCACCAAUCGCAUGGAGGGUGGCAGCGGAACAUGCAUUGUACUGUAUUGUAUUGAAAUAUUUUACAUGAAGCAAGUAUCCUGACAAUAAAAGUGGAAACAUUGA